This 497-nucleotide ribosomal RNA is filed under the name uncultured bacterium. RNAcentral describes it as "partial 16S ribosomal RNA". It matches the Rfam family "Bacterial small subunit ribosomal RNA", at positions 28 to 507 of the family's 1533-position model. The record is from RNAcentral.
GAUGAACGCUGGCGGCGUGCCUAAUACAUGCAAGUCGAGCGAACAGACGAGGAGCUUGCUCCUCUGACGUUAGCGGCGGACGGGUGAGUAACACGUGGAUAACCUACCUAUAAGACUGGGAUAACUUCGGGAAACCGGAGAUAAUACCGGAGAAUAUAUUGAACCGCAGGGUGCAAUAGUGAAAGACGGUUUUGCUGACACUUAUAGAUGGAUCCGCGCCGCAUUAGCUAGUUGGUAAGGUAACGGCUUACCAAGGCAACGAUGCGUAGCCGACCUGAGAGGGUGAUCCGCCACCCUGGAACUGAGACACGGUCCAGACUCCUACGGGAGGCAGCAGUAGGGAAUCUUCCGCAAUGGGCGGAAGCCUGACGGAGCAACGCCGCGGGAGUGAUGGAGGUCUUCGGAUCGUAAAACUCUGUUAUUAGGGAAGAACAAAUGUGUAAGUAACUAUGCACGUCUUGACGGUACCUAAUCAGAAAGCCACGGCUAACUACGUG